RNAcentral lists this small nuclear RNA (107 nucleotides) under Salvator merianae (Argentine black and white tegu). The record is from RNAcentral. Lineage: Eukaryota; Metazoa; Chordata; Lepidosauria; Squamata; Teiidae.
GUGCUCGCUUUGGCAGCACAUAUACUAAAAUUGGAACGUUACAGAGAAGAUUAGCGUGGCCCCUGCGCAAGGAUGACACACAAAUUUGUGAGGUGUUCCAUAUUUUU